This 259-nucleotide ribosomal RNA is filed under the name uncultured prokaryote. RNAcentral's name for it is "partial 16S ribosomal RNA". It matches the Rfam family "Bacterial small subunit ribosomal RNA", at positions 524 to 782 of the family's 1533-position model. The record is from RNAcentral.
UACGGAGGAUCCGAGCGUUAUCCGGAUUUAUUGGGUUUAAAGGGUGCGCAGGCGGGAUGUUAAGUCGGCGGUGAAAUUUUGCAGCUCAACUGUAAAAGUGCCUUCGAUGCUGGCUUUCUUGAGUGUGGAUGAAGUAGGCGGAAUUUGUGGUGUAGCGGUGAAAUGCUUAGAUAUCACGAGGAACUCCGAUUGCGCAGGCAGCUUACUAAACCACUACUGACGCUCAUGCACGAAGGCGUGGGGAUCAAACAGGAUUAGA